UGGUUUCAGCAUUUAAUACAAUGGAUGGAGGUGUUGGUAAAGUGCAUUUAAUUGAUGGUAAAUCAACCCAUUCGUUGCUUUUGGAAA
This 87-nucleotide transfer RNA is filed under the name Chlorobium chlorochromatii CaD3. RNAcentral describes it as "tRNA-Ser". Lineage: Bacteria; Pseudomonadati; Chlorobiota; Chlorobiia; Chlorobiales; Chlorobiaceae. The record is from RNAcentral.